CCUACGGGUGGCAGCAGUGAGGAAUAUUGGUCAAUGGACGAGAGUCUGAACCAGCCAAGUAGCGUGAAGGAUGACUGCCCUAUGGGUUGUAAACUUCUUUUAUAUGGGAAUAAAAUGUUCCACGUGUGGGAUUUUGUAUGUACCAUAUGAAUAAGGAUCGGCUAACUCCGUGCCAGCAGCCGCGGUAAUACGGAGGAUCCGAGCGUUAUCCGGAUUUAUUGGGUUUAAAGGGAGCGUAGGUGGAUUGUUAAGUCAGUUGUGAAAGUUUGCGGCUCAACCGUAAAAUUGCAGUUGAAACUGGCAGUCUUGAGUACAGUAGAGGUGGGCGGAAUUCGUGGUGUAGCGGUGAAAUGCUUAGACAUCACGAAGAACUCCGAUUGCGAAGGCAGUUCACUGGACUGCAACUGACACUGAGGCUCGAAAGUGUGGGUAUCAAACAGGAGUAGAUACCCGAGUAGUC
RNAcentral lists this ribosomal RNA (460 nucleotides) under uncultured bacterium. Its description in RNAcentral is "partial 16S ribosomal RNA". It matches the Rfam family "Bacterial small subunit ribosomal RNA", at positions 338 to 795 of the family's 1533-position model. The record is from RNAcentral.